This 234-nucleotide ribosomal RNA is filed under the name Triticum aestivum (bread wheat). Its description in RNAcentral is "partial small subunit ribosomal RNA". The record is from RNAcentral. Lineage: Eukaryota; Viridiplantae; Streptophyta; Magnoliopsida; Poales; Poaceae.
GCCGGUGCAAGUUAUCAUUGGAUUGCUGAACACUUUGGGGAAUGCCCGGCUGAUGCGGACGAUGAAACAGUGCAGCAGUAUACCAGGGCAUACUUGUGGUAUGUAGUCAGUCGGACUCUUUUCUCUGACGGCACUGGCGUGAACGCUUCCUUUAUGUGGCUUAAGUUGUUUGCUGGUGGGAGCCUGGACUCAGUUGGGGUACGGCGGCGUUGGCUUAUUUGUUUCGUCAGGUAA